Molecule: long non-coding RNA, 943 nt
Organism: Sander lucioperca (pikeperch)
Lineage: Eukaryota; Metazoa; Chordata; Actinopteri; Perciformes; Percidae
Exons: 2
Source: RefSeq, a predicted model, not a curated record
CGUCGAGAAAAGUGUAGAAAAAGAACAACAAAAUGUUGAAAUUUCGACCCAGAAAAACACAAAGUUGCAGGUCGACGGGAAGACAACACAACAACACAAAGGGUUAAGAUAAGAGCUGAAAAACACAUCUUGUUAACCCAUGAGAAGUCAGUCGAAGUUUGAUUUAUUACUGCAGACAGACGGUUGCAAGAACGGCAUGAAAACAGAAAAAUUAUUAAGAUAUUGCCAAAAAAAAGGUCUUUUGAAAACAGCAUCUUUCUGCCUGAAUGCCAUCUGUAGCGCUCCUAAAUAUCAGCACAGAUAGAAGUCAUUUCACAAGUUUAGAAAAGUUGAUUAAAAUUAUAUAACUUAAUUUUUCAGAGUCCUAAAAUUAGGGCCAUGUUUCCCUCAGUUUGUGGCUGAUUUAUUACCCUUAAAUGCUCGAUAAACGGCCCAGAGCUUCUUACUGAUACAGCAGCGUGAUUAGCUCAGAUUUCAGGUGGAAUAUUAUUCUCUGCAAUCGUAGUUUGUCAGUCUGGAAAUACAAAAAAUCUGUUCAUUAUUUCUGUGGAAAAGCUAACUACCAUCAUUGCAUUUUGAUGGAUUUAAAUACUUGUUUACUAACUGUACUACUGUGAACUAAUAAGUAUGAUUAUUCCCGGGUGAAGUGAAUGCAGCAUGAUGACUCAGGGCUCUGGUUUAAAAUACAGUCAGACAAAAAAAGAAGGGCAUCACUGAUUAACAGCUGCGUAUGUUAACAUAUACGUGUUCAUACUGUAAUAAUAAUAAUGGAUGAUGUAUUUAAAAUGUAGUGACUGAAUGUAUCUGGUGGCCAGUGAUAAAAAAAACAACUGAUGUAAGAAUGUACUGCAGUAGUUUGUGGAGGCCGGACAGUGCCACUGAAAUAAUUUUAAAUUAAUUGCAAUUGAAUUUCCAUGACAAUUAAAACUAUCUUAAUUAAGUG